RNAcentral lists this ribosomal RNA (497 nucleotides) under uncultured bacterium. Its description in RNAcentral is "partial 16S ribosomal RNA". It matches the Rfam family "Bacterial small subunit ribosomal RNA", at positions 28 to 507 of the family's 1533-position model. The record is from RNAcentral.
GAUGAACGCUGGCGGCGUGCCUAAUACAUGCAAGUCGAGCGAACAGACGAGGAGCUUGCUCCUUUGACGUUAGCGGCGGACGGGUGAGUAACACGUAGGUAACCUACCUAUAAGACUGGGAUAACUUCGGGAAACCGGAGCUAAUACCGGAUAAUAUUUCGAACCGCAUGGUUCGAUAGUGAAAGAGGGCUUUGCUAUCACUUAUAGAUGGACCUGCGCCGUAUUAGCUAGUUGGUAAGGUAACGGCUUACCAAGGCAACGAUACGUAGCCGACCUGAGAGGGUGAUCGGCCACACUGGAACUGAGACACGGUCCAGACUCCUACGGGAGGCAGCAGUAGGGAAUCUUCCGCAAUGGGCGAAAGCCUGACGGAGCAACGCCGCGUGAGUGAUGAAGGUCUUCGGAUCGUAAAACUCUGUUAUUAGGGAAGAACAAACGUGUAAGUAACUGUGCACGUCUUGACGGUACCUAAUCAGAAAGCCACGGCUAACUACGUG